This 102-nucleotide small RNA is filed under the name Novosphingobium sp. PP1Y. RNAcentral's name for it is "Repression of heat shock gene expression (ROSE) element". It matches the Rfam family "Repression of heat shock gene expression (ROSE) element". Rfam says of the family: This family represents a 5' UTR cis-regulatory element found in heat shock mRNAs and is known as the ROSE (repression of heat shock gene expression) element. The ROSE element is a negative regulator of heat shock gene expression. The secondary structure is thought to be regulated by temperature. Lineage: Bacteria; Pseudomonadati; Pseudomonadota; Alphaproteobacteria; Sphingomonadales; Sphingomonadaceae. The record is from Rfam by way of RNAcentral.
CCGGAUGCCGAUUUGCGGGUCCGGUUGGACACAGAGGGCGCUGGCUCUCAUCCCGGCGCAUCUCAUGCUCAGAUUGCUCAUUGGAGGAUUUGGAAAUGAGAA